Molecule: ribosomal RNA, 439 nt
Filed under: uncultured bacterium
Lineage: Bacteria
Description: partial 16S ribosomal RNA
Rfam family: Bacterial small subunit ribosomal RNA
Source: RNAcentral
CUACGGGCCGCUGCAGUGAGGAAUAUUGCACAAUGGGGGGAACCCUGAUGCAGCAACGCCGCGUGGAGGAUGACGCAUUUCGGUGUGUAAACUCCUUUUAUAUGUCAAGAAAAUGACGGUAGCAUAUGAAUAAGCACCGGCUAACUCCGUGCCAGCAGCCGCGGUAAUACGGAGGGUGCAAGCGUUACUCGGAAUCACUGGGCGUAAAGGACGCGUAGGCGGGUUGGAAAGUCAGGUGUGAAAUCCUGCGGCUUAACUGUAGAACUGCACUUGAAACUUCUAAUCUAGAGUAUGGGAGGGGGAGAUGGAAUUAGUGGUGUAGGGGUAAAGUCCGUAGAUAUCACUAGGAAUACCUAAAGCGAAGGCGAUCUCCUGGAACAUUACUGACGCUAAGGCGUGAAAGCGUGGGGAGCAAACAGGAUUAGAUACCCGGGUAGUC